CCUGGUAGUGGGGAUAACGUUCGGAAACGGACGCUAAUACCGCAUACGUCCUACGGGAGAAAGCAGGGGACCUCGGGCCUUGCGCUAUCAGAUGAGCCUAGGUCGGAUUAGCUAGUUGGUGGGGUAAUGGCUCACCAAGGCGACGAUCCGUAACUGGUCUGAGAGGAUGAUCAGUCACACUGGAACUGAGACACGGUCCAGACUCCUACGGGAGGCAGCAGUGGGGAAUAUUGGACAAUGGGCGAAAGCCUGAUCCAGCCAUGCCGCGUGUGUGAAGAAGGUCUUCGGAUUGUAAAGCACUUUAAGUUGGGAGGAAGGGCAGUAAAUUAAUACUUUGCUGUUUUGACGUUACCGACAGAAUAAGCACCGGCUAACUCUGUGCCAGCAGCCGCGGUAAUACAGAGGGUGCAAGCGUUAAUCGGAAUUACUGGGCGUAAAGCGCGCGUAGGUGGUUCGUUAAGUUGGAUGUGAAAUCCCCGGGCUCAACCUGGGAACUGCAUUCAAAACUGACGAGCUAGAGUAUGGUAGAGGGUGGUGGAAUUUCCUGUGUAGCGGUGAAAUGCGUAGAUUUAGGAAGGAACACCAGUGGCGAAGGCGACCACCUGGACUGAUACUGACACUGAGGUGCGAAAGCGUGGGGAGCAAAC
RNAcentral lists this ribosomal RNA (647 nucleotides) under uncultured bacterium. RNAcentral describes it as "bacterial SSU rRNA". It matches the Rfam family "Bacterial small subunit ribosomal RNA", at positions 129 to 773 of the family's 1533-position model. The record is from RNAcentral.